Molecule: long non-coding RNA, 3867 nt
Filed under: Gallus gallus (chicken)
Lineage: Eukaryota; Metazoa; Chordata; Aves; Galliformes; Phasianidae
Source: RNAcentral
AGGGGACCGAAGUCGGCACAGAUUGCAAUCCGGGAAGGAAAGUGUCCCAGGUGCUUCUCCUUCGGGGAGAGCAAUCCGCUGUGGGGCUCCGUCCCACAUCACCCCGGCAAAGAGACGCCAGGGGCGAAGCCGUCGCCAUCCCAGCAGAGCACGGAGCAAAACGCUUUCUUGAAAGACCCCCCCCAAAAAAGCCACAACGCCCCCUUCCCUUUCUCAAAAGCAAACGCAUCCCGGCUGCGCCCCCGCGUUGCACGAGGGCUCCACGAGCAGCGGGGUGGGAGAAACAAACCUCGAAGGACGGGGUCCGGAAUUUCUUCUUCUUCUUGGAGGGUGAUUUGGAAGGUGAGCCUUCGGGGGAGACGGGCGUGCUGGUCACCGUCUCGCUCUUCUCCUUGGGGGCAUCCUGCUCUGGGUUGGCCGGGGCGCUUGUCUGGUCCCCCCCUUUGCUCUCCUCGGUGCUCUGCUCCUCUUCCUUCCCAUUGACCACCGCUGGAGGCUCCUUUUCGGCGGAGGAAUCGGCCGGAGCUUGGCCAUCCUCCGCCUUCUUAUCACCUUGAUAAGGGGAGAAGAGAGCGGUGAGCUCUGCGGGGCCGCCAGCCGGCAUCGCCCUCCCCCGUGUCACCCCGGGCAGGAGCAGGAUCCAACCCUAUAAGCGCAGCGCAGCGCUCCAGGACCCGACAACACCGCAUCCCUGAGCCUUUCCCCACCCCACGGGACGGAGCAUCGGGCAGAGCCCUGCAUCCCGGCCUCAGCAAUGGAACAAAGCGGGCAACGCCAGCAAGGCAACCCGAGGCACGUCCUGCUGCAGGCGCUGAGCGGGCUGCUGGAGCCCGGCCCCUCCGUACUUACUACAGUGAUAAGCAUUCGGAGUCGGGGGGAACUCCUGGGGUGAAAGCGACACAUGGAGGAAAGAGAAAGGAAGACGUUGUGGAGACAGACACGAGGACACCAUGAGACACGAUGAGACAGCCAGCAGCCCCCACCGCCGCCCCCCCCCAACCCCCCAUUCCUCCUCCAACCCCUGCAGGUUGCAUGCAACAGAUGUACACGAUGUGCGGGUAACGACGCUGGGAGUCCCCGCAGAGUCCCCCUGGUGGGUGCCCAAAUCCUGCGUUGACCUUAAAGGGAGGCAGCAGGUAUGGGGGCGCUGUGCAUCCCCACUGCUGUGGGGCAGCACGAAGGCGCCGCUGAUGUUUAAUGCACUUUUUUUCCACGGGGGUUUUGCUCUUCAGCCCCCUCCGCCCUCACCCCACUCACCCUCCGGACCCUCCGGGGCUGCACUUUUGUCGGGGGAUUUUGGAGACCCCGGUGGUGAUUUUGGGGGGGAUGCCUGGGUUUCCUCUGCCUCCUUGUCUCCUGCAGACAGACAGAUGGCUACAGACCCCAUAACGGGGCUUUGGGAUGCACACGGCCCCCCCAGCUCUUACCGUGCAGCCCCAGCUUCUUCCUCUCCACCUCCCGCUUGUACUCCUCCAGCUCCUGGUCCGUGAGCUGGCUGAAAGGGUUCGGGGGCUCCGGCUCAGCGGGGGCCUCCUCUUGAGAUGGGUUUUUGGUCUCGGCAUCCCCCAAAUGGCUUUCUGUGGACUGAACGCCCCCCCCCCAAAUAGCAGCGUCACCUCCUGGAGCGAGGAGGAAUGGGGGCCGCGGGGACAUGGGGGACGUACGGGGCUGCGGCUCGUCUCGGCGAUCACACUGGCCAGCAGCUGGGACUGCGGCCCCGCAGACUUCACGUCCUGGCGGUUCUGCUCACGGAUCUGCAGGAGAGAUGCAGAGAGAGAGGAUGGGAAAACGCGGACCUGUCGUCCUUGGGACCCCCUUUGGGACCCCGCAUCCGGGGCGACCCAGAUGGCACCGCACCUUGUUCCUCAUCUCCAGCACCUCCUGAGGGUCGGUGUAGAGGGGCACAAACUGGUUGGGGUUCUCGAUGCGGAUGGCGGUGCCACUGCUGCCCUUCUCCACCUCAUCAGCCUUCAGCCACUGCGUGGAGCGGAGGGGGGGACCCCCAGAGAUGCGUGGCAUGGAGAGCAAACCCAAAUGAACGCACGGCAUGGAGAGAGGAAACCCCAACAGUUGCACAUAAUCAAGAGCAAGCCCCAGCAAAUGCAUGGCACCGAGGGAGGAAACCCAGAGAAAUGCAUGGCAUGGAAAGAGGAAAGCACAAUAUGUGCAUGGCAUGGAGAAAGGAAACCCCAACAAAUGCAUGUCCUCAAGAGGAAACCCCAAUAAGUGCAUGGCAACCCCAAUAAGCGCAUGGCAUUGAGAGAGGAAGCCCUAAUAAAUGCACAGCGUUGAGAGCAAACCCUGAUAAAAGAACGGUUCUGAGCAGUAACUCCAAUAAGUACACAGCAUUAAGAGAGGAAACCUCAACAGCUGCGUGCCGUGGAGAGCAAAGCCCGAUCCACAUCAGCGGGAGUGAACCCCGUUUGCACGGCACUGGGAGGAAACCCCAAUUAGUGCUUGGCAUGGAGAAAGCAAACCCCGUCAAAUACAUGGCAUGGAGGGAGAGGAGAACUUGAUAGAUGAGAGCAAACCCCAAUAGAUGUAUGGCACGGGGAGAGCAAACCCUGACGAAUGCACGGCGUGGCAAGAGGAAAGCCCAAUAAAUGCAUGGCUCCAGGAGAUGAAAGCUGGUGAACAAACACAUCCUGCACAGAGGAGAGACGGUGCCAAACGUGCUGCGGGGAAAGGAAACCCCAACAAAGCACUGCGUGCUGGUGGGCUUUUAGAACGAAAGGCGCUAUGGGGCAAAUAAAGGCACAACAGGUGGGCACACGAAGCAUUUCUCACUGCUGGACGACCCCUGCGGGCUCUCUCUGCGCACCCAUUUUUGGUGGAACCAACACUCCGAGCAUCCCCUACCUCCCUUUUACCAACAAUCCCCCCCCCCCCAGGAGCAACCGGCCGGAGCCAAAAAAACCCCAAAGACCCCAAAGAACAGCCCCAUACAGUCGUCUUGGUCUUCUGGCCUCCCUGCUGCUCCUCGGCCACGCUGACCCUCAGGUAGGUGUUGGGCGUGUUGAGCCACCGCGUCUUCUCCUUCUGCUGCUUCUGCGCGUGCUGCCGCAGCGCCGGCGUGGGCAUCGCCUCCUCCUCGAAGACGAAGGCCGUCACCGUGGCAGGGAUGAGCACGUCGCUUUUGGGUUUGCUUUUCUCUUGCACGAAGGGGUACCGGUAGGUGUAGCCGGUGCGGUAGCCCUGAGGAGCGGAACGGUGUUGAGUUCUGCAGGUUGUUUUCUCAGGGUGGGUCGAAGGGAUGGAGGGACGGCGCCCGCUCGCCCGCAGUGCGCUCACCAGGUUGUCCAGCAUCCUCAUCAGGGCUUCAAAUUCGUGCUCGCCCAAACGGCUCUUCUGCAUGGGGCCAAAGGUGCUGCCAGCCCAGCGCACAGAGCCCACCUCGUGGGGACGGUGCUUGGCACGCUCCAGCACGAUGAGGUUCUCCGCGCCGCCUGCGCUCGCCAGCGCCGACACCUGCAGCAUUGCGUCGGUGGCUGAGGCUUUGCACAGCUCUGUGCAUUGUGCUGGGGGCGUUGCUCUGGUGCUGAGGGCAUGCGUGGUGCUGGGAGCGUUGCAAUGAUGGCCGAGACCAUGCACAACUCAGUGCACGGUGCUGGGAGCGUUGCAGUGGUGCUGGGAGCAUGCGCAGCUUUGUGUAUGGAUGGCGAAGGGGGUAUUUCAUUGGUGGCUGAGACCGUGCACAGAGCUGCGUAUGGUGCAGGGGGUAUUGCAUGGAUGGCUGAGGGCAUGCAUGGUGCUGGGAGCGUUGCACUGAUGGCUGAGACCAUGCACAACUCAGUGCAUGGGUAUUGCACUGAUGGCUGAGACCAUGCACAGCUCAGUGCAUGGUGCUGGGAGCGUUGCACUGAUGGC